RNAcentral lists this ribosomal RNA (483 nucleotides) under uncultured bacterium. RNAcentral's name for it is "partial 16S ribosomal RNA". It matches the Rfam family "Bacterial small subunit ribosomal RNA", at positions 30 to 506 of the family's 1533-position model. The record is from RNAcentral.
AUUGAACGCUGGCGGCAGGCCUAACACAUGCAAGUCGAGCGGAUGAAGGGAGCUUGCUCCUGGAUUCAGCGGCGGACGGGUGAGUAAUGCCUAGGAAUCUGCCUGGUAGUGGGGGAUAACGUCCGGAAACGGGCGCUAAUACCGCAUACGUCCUGAGGGAGAAAGUGGGGGAUCUUCGGACCUCACGCUAUCAGAUGAGCCUAGGUCGGAUUAGCUAGUUGGUGGGGUAAAGGCCUACCAAGGCGACGAUCCGUAACUGGUCUCUGAGGAUGAUCAGUCACACUGGAACUGAGACACGGUCCAGACUCCUACGGGAGGCAGCAGUGGGGAAUAUUGGACAAUGGGCGAAAGCCUGAUCCAGCCAUGCCGCGUGUGUGAAGAAGGUCUUCGGAUUGUAAAGCACUUUAAGUUGGGAGGAAGGGCAGUAAGUUAAUACCUUGCUGUUUUGACGUUACCAACAGAAUAAGCACCGGCUAACUUCGU